This 465-nucleotide ribosomal RNA is filed under the name uncultured bacterium. RNAcentral's name for it is "partial 16S ribosomal RNA". It matches the Rfam family "Bacterial small subunit ribosomal RNA", at positions 338 to 795 of the family's 1533-position model. The record is from RNAcentral.
CCUACGGGAGGCAGCAGUGGGGAAUAUUGCGCAAUGGGCGAAAGCCUGACGCAGCGACGCCGCGUGAGGGAUGAAGGUCUUCGGAUCGUAAACCUCUGUCAGUAGGGAAGUACGGUCACUGUUCUAAUCAGCAGUGAAUUUACGUUACGUGCAAGGGAAGCAUCGGCUAACGCCGUGCCAGCAGCCGCGGUAAUACGGAGGGUGCGAGCGUUAAUCGGAAUUACUGGGGGUAAAGGGAGCGCAGGCGGUUGAGUAGGUCAGAUGUGAAAUCCCGGAGCUUAACACUGGAAUGGCAUAUGUGACUGGUCGCCUAGAGUGUGUCAGAGGGAGGUGGAAUUCGACGUGUAGCAGUGAAAUGCGUAGAUAUGUGGAAGAACACCGAUGGCGAAGGCAGCCUCCUGGGACAUAACUGACGCUCAGGCACGAAAGCGUGGGGAGCAAACAGGAUUAGAUACCCUAGUAGUC